Molecule: ribosomal RNA, 254 nt
Filed under: uncultured bacterium
Lineage: Bacteria
Description: partial 16S ribosomal RNA
Rfam family: Bacterial small subunit ribosomal RNA
Source: RNAcentral
GACGAACCGUGCGAACGUUAUUCGGAAUCACUGGGCUUAAAGCGCGUGUAGGCGGCCCGGCACGUCCGUCGCUGAAAUCCCCCGGCUCAACCGGGGAACGGGCGCGGAUACGACCAGGCUGGAGGGGGGUAGGGGGCGCCGGAACUUCCGGUGGAGCGGUGAAAUGCGUUGAGAUCGGAAGGAACGCCCGUGGCGAAAGCGGGCGCCUGGACCCCACCUGACGCUGAGACGCGAAAGCCAGGGGAGCGAACGGG